AUUACAAACAUUUAUUAUAUUUCCAUCGUGAAUCCUCCAUGUGUUGCUCACUUGCUCUCAUUAUUUAAUUAAGUCCACACGACAUUAUUCAUCAAUAUGUAACUGUACGUGUUUAUAAUAAAUUCAUAUCUGGUCCGUUAAGUAAAUUAACGCCCAGUAAUAAGGUUAGGUCAAACUUAAAUUGUAAUCACACGUGGUUCACGGUAUGUUCUGCUUCCACUUGGUGUAUAAAAUAGGUGAAACUUGACCUCUAACGACUUACAUCUCGCCAAGAAAAGAAUAAGGAAAGGUGACUAUCAAAAUGAAUAAUGAGAUCAAUCUUGGCUUAUAAGAUUAUCCAUCUACAUCUACCGCCACCAUUCUCACUAGUGACGUGCCACCU
RNAcentral lists this long non-coding RNA (382 nucleotides) under Brassica napus (rape). Its description in RNAcentral is "long non-coding RNA (BNAP_LNC006471)". Lineage: Eukaryota; Viridiplantae; Streptophyta; Magnoliopsida; Brassicales; Brassicaceae. The record is from RNAcentral.